GGGACCGACCUGGCUUCGACGUGGGUACGGAGUCGGCGCGGGGCAUGCCGAGCACCAGUUCGCUCGUAAAUCCACUGGAAACAAAGUAACUGCGAACGAUCAAACGUACGCCCUCGCCGCUUAAAACCGGUGAGCCUCGCAACAGCUGGCCUAUGGGCUGGGUCUGAGGUCGAAAGGCCGAUGACUGCGAGGU
Molecule: transfer-messenger RNA, 193 nt
Filed under: Burkholderiales bacterium
Lineage: Bacteria; Pseudomonadati; Pseudomonadota; Betaproteobacteria; Burkholderiales
Description: partial transfer-messenger RNA
Rfam family: transfer-messenger RNA
About the family: Bacterial tmRNA, also known as 10Sa RNA or SsrA, is named for its dual tRNA and mRNA-like properties. Its role is to liberate the mRNA from a stalled ribosome.
Source: RNAcentral